GCCGUCGUAGACCACGGUGGUCGCCCGAUACAUAUCAUAUAUCGGGUAAUCAAAUUGUAAGAAUAUAUACUCGGGAGACGGAGGUUCGAUUCCUCCCGGCGGCA
This is a non-coding RNA of Mycena vitilis, 104 nucleotides long. The record is from the annotation of a GenBank genome assembly. NCBI's taxonomy places the organism in Eukaryota, Fungi, Basidiomycota, Agaricomycetes, Agaricales, Mycenaceae.